CCCAACUAUCCCUAUUAAUCAUUACGUCAAUCCUAGAAACCAACAAAAUAGGAUCGAUCGUCCUAUUUCAUUAUUCCAUGCUAAUGUAUUCAAGCGUUAGCCUGCUUUAAACACUCUAAUUUUUUCAAAGUAACAGUCCUGUUUCCCCGCAACACCAAAUUAAUGGCAUUACGGUUCUUCAGGAAGGAGGAAUCAGUGAGACCAGUACAUACCUGAGGCACGACCAGCCUACUGACCCCGAAAUUCAACUA
RNAcentral lists this ribosomal RNA (251 nucleotides) under uncultured Glomus. Its description in RNAcentral is "partial 18S ribosomal RNA". Lineage: Eukaryota; Fungi; Glomeromycota; Glomeromycetes; Glomerales; Glomeraceae. The record is from RNAcentral.